RNAcentral lists this ribosomal RNA (368 nucleotides) under uncultured phototrophic eukaryote. RNAcentral's name for it is "SSU rRNA". It matches the Rfam family "Bacterial small subunit ribosomal RNA", at positions 524 to 896 of the family's 1533-position model. The record is from RNAcentral.
UACGGGGGAUGCAAGCGUUAUCCGGAAUCAUUGGGCGUAAAGCGCCUGUAGGUUGUUUAAUAAGUCUGUUGUUAAAGACUAGGGCUCAACCCUAGAAAAGCAAUGGAAACUAAUAGACUAGAGUAUGGCAGGGGUAGAGGGAAUUUCUAGUGUAGCGGUGAAAUGCGUAGAUAUUAGAAAGAACACCAGUGGCGAAAGCGCUCUACUGGACCAUUACUGACACUCAGAGGCGAAAGCUAGGGUAGCAAAAGGGAUUAGAUACCCCUGUAGUCCUAGCCGUAAACGAUGGAUACUAGAUGUUGUGUUAUAUCACAGUAUCGCAGCUAACGCGUUAAGUAUCCCGCCUGGGGAGUACGCUCGCAAGGGUG